UACAGAGGGUGCCAGCGUUGUCCGGAUUUACUGGGCGUAAAGAGCGCGCAGGCGGUCGUUCAAGUCGAGUGUGAAAGCCCCCGGCUCAACUGGGGAGGGUCAUUCGAUACUGAUCGACUCGAAGGCAGGAGAGGGAAGUGGAAUUCCCGGUGUAGUGGUGAAAUGCGUAGAUAUCGGGAAGAACACCCGUGGCGAAGGCGGCUCUCUGGGACGGUACUGACGCUGAGACGCGAAAGCGUGGGGAGCGAACAGG
This 253-nucleotide ribosomal RNA is filed under the name uncultured bacterium. RNAcentral's name for it is "partial 16S ribosomal RNA". It matches the Rfam family "Bacterial small subunit ribosomal RNA", at positions 524 to 776 of the family's 1533-position model. The record is from RNAcentral.